UGGUCAUUACCUAGGCUUUUAGAAUGCAGUUUCUCAUUUGCCAUGGACAUGACCAGAAAAGAAAUUUCGCAUUACGUUUUUUUCCUGCUACCUUGCUAGCAUUCAGCCUAUUGGGAACAUUU
Diceros bicornis minor is the source of this 122-nucleotide small nucleolar RNA. RefSeq annotates it as small nucleolar RNA SNORA32. The transcript has a single exon. NCBI's taxonomy places the organism in Eukaryota, Metazoa, Chordata, Mammalia, Perissodactyla, Rhinocerotidae. The record is from RefSeq and is a predicted model, not a curated record.